Long non-coding RNA from Vigna radiata var. radiata (mung bean), 1772 nucleotides. RefSeq lists it as uncharacterized. The transcript has 5 exons. The record is from RefSeq and is a predicted model, not a curated record. Lineage: Eukaryota; Viridiplantae; Streptophyta; Magnoliopsida; Fabales; Fabaceae.
AUCUGCUUAAACCCAAUAUUUUCGUCUAAUUUCUGAUUCAAUUUCUCCCUUCCUGAACCCUAAAAUCAGUUCCCUCAUCAGUUCCCCUUUCAUUCCAUCCGCUUUCUCCCUCGCAGAUUCGCAGUCGGUGGACGAAGCUGCAACGGGGGUUUUGCGGACCGGCAGACAACGGAGCUCAUAACGUCACGAAGUCUCAAUUGGUGCAGCGUUUUCAUCAACGAGUAUGAAAUUGCUUCUCAGGUCUUUGUAGAUAGCUUUGGCUCUGUCCUGAUAUGGUCCAUUCUCUAAAAAAUUCAUAAAAAGUUUUGAAAUGUGGCUAAAAAGUGGUAGUGCGAGUGAAUGAACGAACCAAUGAAUGAAUAUACAAGGAAGCCAUCAUCGUCACUGUGAGGAACCAAAAGCAACGCAUUAUUCAUAGUUUUCUUUAUGUAUGUAUGUACCUUUUUAUAUCCUCCAUAUAUGUCAAUCUUAUUAGACUUGCAGACUAUAUAUAUAUAUAUAUAUAUAUAUAUAUAUAUAUAUAUAUAUACAUCUCAGUUCUCACCUUUUGGGUUUUCUUCUUAAGUUCCUACUUUCAAUGGUUCAAUUAUAUGUACUCGCUGGCCGCUCUAGAAAUUCAAUGCCCCGAGUUGUUAAUUGUUUGAAGCCAUAGAAUAGGUAGUGAGUCAAUUCUGUACAUCUUCUAUGACACCUUCCACAUUAUUAUGGUCUUCUACAUGUGUCUCUCAUAUUCAUGCUCAUUAAUGAUUUCGUAGACACAUUUUCAUUUAACAUUUUUUCUUUCAACUUGACACUUUUUACUGCUUUACUGUCUACUUGUAUAUCUGCUCUGGAUGCAGAAGAAUCAUAUGGCCCUUCAUGCUUCAUCUAUCAUCUGUGCGCUUCAGAUCACUGACAAGUUUUUUUAGGAUUUUUCCCUUUAAGACUGUAGCCAACUGCUGAUAUUUUGUUUGAUUGAUGAUAUGGACCCAAUGUCACUCAUUUGUCAUUAAGGGCAAAAUUGUCUUUGCAGUGUGUGAAAACUGAUUGAAAAUUGAGUUCCUUUUUCGUUCCGUUGUUCAUUCCUUUGAUUUGCAUGGUCGAGAGGGAGAGAGCGAGCGAUAAAGAAUAAAGAAAAAGAGAACUCCAUGGUUGGCACAGGGACUUAAUCGUUAUCAGCGAAGUGAGAAGCAUCAGAGAUCAGUAUUUCAUGUCUGGGAUACUUCAUUAGAGACCAUAGAAAUACCUAUGAGAUAUUGCAAUCUAGGAUAAAGCUGAAAGUUGUGUUAAAGAAGCUUUAGAUGAUUUUGCCAAGCCUUGGCAGGUAAUUAUGUCCUUUUCUAUAUAUCUUAUAGAAUAUUUCAUGCCAGUGAUAUAUUGUAAAGGAUAUUCUUUUCAUCAUACGGUUAUAAUUAUAAUUACAUUAGAAGUAGUACAGAUUGGAUAUCCAAAAGUAGAGUUAGCCCAUUUCAUCUUCAAUACUAAGAAAAUUCUUUGAUUCCUCUAAACUCACUAAAUAAUUGCCUACCCCAUGUGGUCUCCCCUCCUCCCAUCACAUUUAUCCCACCAUUCUCUCAUCAUGGAAUUUUACUCUUCCUAAUUCCAAGCAACAUGAACCGAAAAACUAUAAAAUCUUAGAAAUGAUAUAUUUAUAUUUGUGUGAAAAAUCAUGAUGUAAUACAUUUAUAACUUUUGUUAUGUCAUUAUAAUUAAAUUUAUAUUUACUGAUGAUGCAAUUAUUGUAAUAAAUGAGUUAGGUUAACUACUUCCUAAAAGUAUGAGUUAUAUAUAUA